Molecule: ribosomal RNA, 957 nt
Filed under: Rhodococcus gordoniae
Lineage: Bacteria; Bacillati; Actinomycetota; Actinomycetes; Mycobacteriales; Nocardiaceae
Description: bacterial SSU rRNA
Rfam family: Bacterial small subunit ribosomal RNA
Source: RNAcentral
CAAGUCGAACGAUGAAGCCCAGCUUGCUGGGUGGAUUAGUGGCGAACGGGUGAGUAACACGUGGGUGAUCUGCCCUGCACUCUGGGAUAAGCCUGGGAAACUGGGUCUAAUACCGGAUAGGACCUUCGGCCGCAUGGCUGGGGGUGGAAAGUUUUUCGGUGCAGGAUGAGCCCGCGGCCUAUCAGCUUGUUGGUGGGGUAAUGGCCUACCAAGGCGACGACGGGUAGCCGGCCUGAGAGGGCGACCGGCCACACUGGGACUGAGACACGGCCCAGACUCCUACGGGAGGCAGCAGUGGGGAAUAUUGCACAAUGGGCGCAAGCCUGAUGCAGCGACGCCGCGUGAGGGAUGACGGCCUUCGGGUUGUAAACCUCUUUCACCCAUGACGAAGCGCAAGUGACGGUAGUGGGAGAAGAAGCACCGGCCAACUACGUGCCAGCAGCCGCGGUAAUACGUAGGGUGCGAGCGUUGUCCGGAAUUACUGGGCGUAAAGAGCUCGUAGGCGGUUUGUCGCGUCGUCUGUGAAAACCCGCAGCUCAACUGCGGGCUUGCAGGCGAUACGGGCAGACUCGAGUACUGCAGGGGAGACUGGAAUUCCUGGUGUAGCGGUGAAAUGCGCAGAUAUCAGGAGGAACACCGGUGGCGAAGGCGGGUCUCUGGGCAGUAACUGACGCUGAGGAGCGAAAGCGUGGGUAGCGAACAGGAUUAGAUACCCUGGUAGUCCACGCCGUAAACGGUGGGCGCUAGGUGUGGGUUUCCUUCCACGGGAUCCGUGCCGUAGCCAACGCAUUAAGCGCCCCGCCUGGGGAGUACGGCCGCAAGGCUAAAACUCAAAGGAAUUGACGGGGGCCCGCACAAGCGGCGGAGCAUGUGGAUUAAUUCGAUGCAACGCGAAGAACCUUACCUGGGUUUGACAUGUACCGGACGACUGCAAAGAUGUGGUUUCCCUUUGUGGCC